CAAGAGAGGAAUGCUCUGGCUAACUGGAUGAAGGCUCAGUAUUGGGAAACAAGGAUGAUGCAGCAGAGCAGGGAGAACGCCUACCUGAAAUACAGAUUGCGCAUGAUGAAAGGGGAGAUGCUGCCUGUGGGAUCCAUGAGGCAUGAACUGAU
Molecule: long non-coding RNA, 152 nt
Organism: Neogale vison (American mink)
Lineage: Eukaryota; Metazoa; Chordata; Mammalia; Carnivora; Mustelidae
Exons: 3
Source: RefSeq, a predicted model, not a curated record